Molecule: non-coding RNA, 72 nt
Organism: Hypoxylon crocopeplum
Lineage: Eukaryota; Fungi; Ascomycota; Sordariomycetes; Xylariales; Hypoxylaceae
Source: the annotation of a GenBank genome assembly
UCCAAGUUGGUGUAGUGGAUAACAUUCGAGAUUCUCAUUCUCGGGCCCGGGGUUCGAUUCCCCGACUUGGAG